RNAcentral lists this long non-coding RNA (994 nucleotides) under Nicotiana benthamiana. RNAcentral's name for it is "long non-coding RNA (NBEN_LNC027002)". Lineage: Eukaryota; Viridiplantae; Streptophyta; Magnoliopsida; Solanales; Solanaceae. The record is from RNAcentral.
UGAUUUCCAUUUCGAAUAAGAUACAGAGACGAGGAUGCAAGUAAUUAAAACAUGCUCAGAGAUCUCUUUAAGAGACUCAUGAGGAAACAAACAUAUAUAAUAGUAGGUUUAAAAUAACAGAGUGAAGAAACUGAUUCGAAGCAUAGUGAGAGUAGGAGGCACAUGUUUAAGAAAAAACUAGGACUUAAACAAGGUUCAGAAGAGAAAACAGAUAGUAUAGUAUUUAAGAAAGCAUUAGAAGAAACAUGUUUAAAGGGAACUCAAACAAAGGUCUAGUAAAAGGCAAACGAAGAAAUUAAGAAAUUAGUAGGGAAAUAUACAGUAGGAGAACACAAAAUACCAGAAAAGUAUAUCAACGAAACAUAUAGGAGAAACACACCAAGAUGAAUAUGCGAGCAUGGUGUAGAAACACAGUAGAAAGACAAGGCACAUAAGAACAUAUAUUGCAGUAAAACAUAAUAAAUUAGUAGAAGCACAUGCGUGACAAAUAUACACACAGAAAAAAGGAAAAGAAAAGUUAGAGAAACGUUUUGAACUUUUCAAAAACCCUAAAUCAAACAGAAAUAAUUUUUGGAAGAAAAAUUGAAAAAAAAACGUUUAAUAACUCCAGUAGCGCACAUAUAUAUAACAAAUCUAAGAAAAAUCAGAGAAACCUCGAGUAGCUAGGGUUUCAGAAGAACCAUAAAAGUAGAAAGACUUUAAAAAGGUCGAACUUCAUCAGAAAGGUUAGAAAUAGGCUCAAAAUAAUUUGGAUACGCCGGAGCAAGGCCGGAGAGGCCAUGGAACCUUGAAUUCGGCGAAGAUCUGAACCGAACACCAUCGAGGUCAUACCUCGAAACUUUGAACACCAAUAGUUUACGAUCGGAUGCAGGUGAGUAUAGGCUGUCAAUGGCCUGAGAGGCCAUGGAUUCUGGUGAGAUUGAGGUUGAAAAUGGUAGAAGAUGAUUAGAGUUUUCAAGAACCAUCGAGAGAGUUUGAGAGAGGAAAGUGUUUG